This 469-nucleotide ribosomal RNA is filed under the name Russula solaris. RNAcentral's name for it is "eukaryotic LSU rRNA". The stretch from base 167 to 320 matches the Rfam family "5.8S ribosomal RNA". Lineage: Eukaryota; Fungi; Basidiomycota; Agaricomycetes; Russulales; Russulaceae. The record is from RNAcentral.
CUGUCGCUGACCCUUCGAAAGGUCGUGCACGCUCGAGCACUCUCAUAAAUCCAUCUCACCCCUUUGUGCAUCACCGCGUGGGUUCCCUUUGCAGGAGGGCCCACGUUUUCACACAAAACUUGAUACAGUGUAGAAUGUUAUUUUUGCGGUCACACGCAAUCAAUACAACUUUCAACAACGGAUCUCUUGGCUCUCGCAUCGAUGAAGAACGCAGCGAAAUGCGAUACGUAAUGUGAAUUGCAGAAUUCAGUGAAUCAUCGAAUCUUUGAACGCACCUUGCGCCCCUUGGCAUUCCGAGGGGCACACCCGUUUGAGUGUCGUGAAAUUAUCAAAAACCCUUUUCUGUUUACUGAAAAGGAUUUUUGGACUUGGAGGUUUAAUGCUUGCCUUUCACAUUUGAAAGUGAGCUCCUCUCAAAUGAAUUAGUGGGGUCCGCUUUGUCGGUCCUUGACGUGAUAAGAUGUUUCUA